CACUAUAACCAAGGAUACAUCCAUAAUAAGCUCAAAUGCAUGAGCAUACUAAACUUGCAGAAAUAAGUAUUCAGAAAUCAUUGAUGGUUUAUGCUCUAGGUUUAGAUAUGGUCUCUUUUUUCUACCGUUUUUUCUUCAAUUCAAUACAUUAUAGCUGAAUUAACUUAGGACGGUCAAUGUUCAUCGACGCCUGAAAGGAAAUGUGGCAAAGAGCUAAUAAUGGAGAAAGGAAAGCCUGGCAAACAUAUAUUGAGGUGCUACCUCAUCCUCAUGCAUAGACUUAAAUAUCCCAACCCUUUUUUUAUAAGGGCAAUUCAUUGAAACAUUUGAAUCUAUUCCACCCCUUUAGUGCUUGGCCCCAGAACAUUGACUGUCCAAAUAUUAUAUCAUAUUCAUCAAUACAAUACAACCCAACACCCGGUACUUUACAGGUUGGUUAUACAAAAAUGGCAGCUCGGUGCACUAAAUCUCCUGCUAAGCGCAGGAUACAGGGAAGGGUCUAUUGUACUCAGCCUCAGUGUACAUUUCUACAAGGGCUCGUGACCUCCGAUACCUUACCAAUUACUCAGAGAUUCCCCUUCUCAUGUGAUAUUAUGUAACGAUGAAAAAUGAUACAAUCUAAUCCAAACAUUAUAUAAUACAGUACAGUACAAUAUGUAACAAUCAUUGAAACAAAGGGAAGAAUGUUACCUUUUCUCAACAGUGAGGAAACUGGAGCCGGUUAAUCAAUAUGAGAAAAAUGGACGAGACGGGAGAGUUUACUUGGGCCGGGUCGGAGUGUUUUUAGUAUCGGGACGGGUAUUUUGGGAGAAUUGGGCAGGGAUAUUAUUAAGCUGAGAUAGCCCAAUAGAGGGGGAGAUUUUGUGGGGUUAAAAUUGGCUAGAAUUGAGAUUUAUUAUAUUAUAGCCCAAACAUUUCAAUUGAAGUAAUAUUCUAUUAAAAUAUAGCCAAAACAUUUCAAUUGAGGUAAAAUUGCUAACCAUUUCAAUUGAGAUAUGAGACAAAUUUAUUAUUUUAUUUAAUCAACUAAACUUCUUGUUGACAAACUGAAUUAGUUAUAAUAAUUAAGUGGUAAAUGACUUCAUUUGAUUUUAUUAACUAAACCCUAUUUUCAUUUUGUUUGGCUUAUGUCGACUUGGAACACUAUUUUAGUAGAUCCUAUAUUUAAUUGAUUAGAGACAAAUUGUUAAAAGAUGAUUUGCGGUUGGAAGAUAAGCAAUUGCAUUAGAAUUAGACCCUCACAUCCUCGCUCAAUGAUGUAGUUGUGAGACUAAUUGGGUAGACGACUUAAAGGAUGAUCAUUAUCAAAUGUACUAUCAAAUCUUUUAGAGAUUUUUUUUUUUUUAUCACUUUAUGUAUCAUUUCCUUAUCAUUGGACGCAAGUAAGAUCAUCCAUGUAUAAAUCUAAGAAACAAAAUUUUACUCCCACUUACCUUCGUUCUAAUAUAUGUGUUGAUCCAUAACGAUCUUGAUAAAGUCGAUUACAAAGAUAACAUUAUGAAAUUUUAAGUAACAUUGACAUGAGGCUUGUUUUAGAAAGCCAAUGAUUUUCAAUCAUCACAUAAUCAUGAUUCAUUAACUCUUGACUGCAUUCCUCUUCCCAAUUUUAUUUAAUUUUGCUCUAAAUCUCUUCGUCUUCACAUCAAUUCGAUCUUUAUAUAUAUAUAUAUAUAGUUGUUACCAUUUAAUUCACAAUUUAAGGUAAACAAUGUGUAGAAUUGAAUCUACCAACAAACUACUAUGCGCUAAAAUUUUCAAUUUGAUUAGAUUCAGCCUUUUUUAUAAUAGAAUUUAAUUUACUAGCAUAAUAUUCUAUUUCCAUCUUAACUAUUAGAUUCUAAUUUAUAUUUCUUGUGGGUGAUCGACUACAAAAUAGAAUUCAAUAUCUUGUCCUAAAUUACUAUGCAACUCAAUAAUAGGAGUCCUAGAGUUGUUAUAUCUUGCUUAAUUAAACACAAUUUCAAUAUUUAAAACUUCUUUAUGUGAUCUUUGCCUUUAAAACUUUUAUUCAAUUACAAGUGUUGUGGCUAUUCUCCGAUUAAAUAAAAUUAUAAAUUAAUUAGACACGAAUUUUUAUUUAAUGUCUAUAAUUUUCUUAUGCGAUUCUGAGUAUAACGUAUAAUUCUGCUUAUUCACAAUUAU
This 2142-nucleotide long non-coding RNA is filed under the name Capsicum annuum. RNAcentral describes it as "long non-coding RNA (CANN_LNC010786)". The record is from RNAcentral. Lineage: Eukaryota; Viridiplantae; Streptophyta; Magnoliopsida; Solanales; Solanaceae.